Molecule: long non-coding RNA, 651 nt
Filed under: Lathyrus oleraceus (garden pea)
Lineage: Eukaryota; Viridiplantae; Streptophyta; Magnoliopsida; Fabales; Fabaceae
Description: Pisum sativum (pea) long non-coding RNA (PSAT_LNC003210)
Source: RNAcentral
GAUGAUGGUAGUUGUAAGAAGUUGUGGUGUUUGAAGAAAAUGUGUGUUUGUGGAGAGUGAAGAGUUUUAUAUAGUUAAAGUAGUGAUGAUGGUGAUGAAGAUGGUUAUGGUUUUUUUUUAGUUGGUUUAAAUGAAGUUGUUGUUGUAGUUUUAACAUAGAGAAUAUGUGUUAGUAAGAAAAUGAGUGAGGUUGUAGAUGUUCAUGAAAGAAAGAAAGGUUGGGCGGUUUGAUGAUGUAGAGAAAGAGUAGAUAUUUUAUGUUUAGAUAUUUUUUGUGGUGUAUGUUGUGAAGGAUGUAGCAGUAAAAAAGGAGAAGAAAAGAAAGAGAGAGAGAGAGAGAGGAAAAAAGAGAAAGAGAGGAAGAAAAUAAACCAAUGAAAAAAGGGGACACGUGAAUAGAAGAGGGAAAGAAGAAAAUAUCUCCAAUCAAAGUCAAGUGUCCUUUAUACAUUGGUCCAAAAAUAAAUAAAUUUUAAUUCAAAAACAAAAAUUUAUAUGGAUUGGUUGAUAAAAAUAUAUUAUCCAUUUUCUAAUUUUACUAAUUAAAAUAAAAUACCUAAACAUAAAUUAAAAUUGAAUCGAGAACAUAGAUAAUUCUAAAUAAAUCUCUCGAUUUUUAUGGCAAUGGAACAAAAAUAAUCAGUCAAAAAU